RNAcentral lists this transfer RNA (76 nucleotides) under Myxococcaceae bacterium. Its description in RNAcentral is "tRNA-Met". It matches the Rfam family "tRNA". Rfam says of the family: Transfer RNA (tRNA) molecules are approximately 80 nucleotides in length. Their secondary structure includes four short double-helical elements and three loops (D, anti-codon, and T loops). The record is from RNAcentral. Lineage: Bacteria; Pseudomonadati; Myxococcota; Myxococcia; Myxococcales; Myxococcaceae.
GGCGGUGUAGCUCAGCUGGUUAGAGCAGCGGUUUCAUAAGCCGCGUGUCCCCAGUUCGAAUCUGGGCACCGCCACC